Molecule: ribosomal RNA, 253 nt
Filed under: uncultured bacterium
Lineage: Bacteria
Description: partial 16S ribosomal RNA
Rfam family: Bacterial small subunit ribosomal RNA
Source: RNAcentral
UACGUAGGGGGCUAGCGUUAUCCGGAAUUACUGGGUGUAAAGGGAGCGUAGACGGUAAUGUAAGUCUGGAGUGAAAGGCGGGGGCCCAACCCCCGGACUGCUCUGGAAACUAUGUUACUAGAGUGCAGGAGAGGUAAGCGGAAUUCCUAGUGUAGCGGUGAAAUGCGUAGAUAUUAGGAGGAACACCAGUGGCGAAGGCGGCUUACUGGACUGUAACUGACGUUGAGGCUCGAAAGCGUGGGGAGCAAACAGG